This 507-nucleotide ribosomal RNA is filed under the name Triticum aestivum (bread wheat). RNAcentral describes it as "partial small subunit ribosomal RNA". The record is from RNAcentral. Lineage: Eukaryota; Viridiplantae; Streptophyta; Magnoliopsida; Poales; Poaceae.
AUGAAUUGCUUAGCGUGGAACUGUCGGGGUGUGGCCAAUGACCCGACAGUUCGAGAUUUGGUUGGCUUGGUCACGGCCGCCAAUGCUAAGUUGGUCUUUUUGUGUGAAACUCGCCAGAAAGCUAAUAAAGUUCGUCGUCUUCGUGGGAGACUAGGAUUAGGAGGUUUUGCUGGUUGUGACAGUCAAGGCCUUAGUGGUGGCUUGGCACUUUUCUGGUGUGAUCAAAUUCAUGUUGAGAUUAAAGAAAUAAAGGAGAGAUAUAUUGAUGCUUAUAUUCGGUUGGCUGAUGAUGCGCCUUUAUGGCGUUUGACUUGUGUGUAUGGCGAACCCCGAGUUGAGAACCAGCAUCUUAUGUGGACUGUGCUGCAAAAUCUGAAAGCUCAAUCGGAUUUGCCUUGGUGUGUGUUGGGGGAUUUCAAUGAAGCUAUGUGGUCAUUCGAGCACUUUUCCGCGACUAGGAGAAGUGAAGCUCAGAUGUUGGUGUUGGGGAACGUUGCAGAAAAUUAA